UUUAAGUGCCUGUUGUCAUCCACCCCAAGCUCACUCACAAACAUUAAUGGCCAUCCUUGCUGUAGCAGAACCCCUCCUCUCCUCAUUAUGCUGUCCACCACUCUCCCGCACACCUUGUUGGGGUUGCUGGUUUCCCCAGCCCUCCCAACCCGCGAUCCAUGCCAAUGCAUCUCCAACACUAAUUUCCCUGUGAAUGUCAAUUCCAGCUGUUGAUUGAGGAGGAAAGAUAGGUCUGUACCAUCACUCAAGCCAGAGAUUAUGACCAGAACAUCUGGGUUGGCUGAGUGCACUGCUUCAGCUCCUUUCUGCAUGUACCUGGUCAAUUCAUGAAUAGCUUUAUAACAAGACCAAUUCCUACAAAUAUGGUAACUAAUAGUUUGGAAAUAUAACAACCCCCUCCCUUACGUGUCCGUGUAGAUAUUGUCCAAUCCAAUGGGACCCUCACCAUACAAUACAAUGCAUAUAUAAGAUUAAGAAGAACCCAUGAAUACAUAACAUUCUUCAAUUUGGUCCCGCACAUUAGGGAAUGAAUCAUAACAGGAAAAUAGAGAUCAUCACCUGUACCAGUCCUUCACAUUCUGAUUGGGGCAUCGGAGCUCAUUCCUCAAGCUCAUGCCCACCACAUUAGGGACACCGCUGAACAUGGUGGCAAUCCGGGUGAGGCCCUUGACCCACAAGUCUGGAUUGAAGUGCUGGUCGCCAAAGACGCCAUUGUCAUGGAAGCUGGGCUCGCUGAAGUGACUGUCUAGUAUGACCAUCAUAUUGUUGUCCGCAAGGUUAGACACCACCGCCUGCCAUAAUAACUUAAGAUAAAUACAAAACAGCGUUGGGUCUGUGCCUUUUUUACAAUACCGGUGUUUUAUCAUUGAAUAAUCACAAAUAUUAUUCUUUCCGAAUACUGUAGCUGUAACAGUGAGGGCGUUUGUCCAAAUUCACAAGCCACCUAUUUUUAAAUCAAGAUAAUCAUGAAAUCAUGUGAUAGUGUACGAACCAAGGAACCAUUUCAAAAGCCUCCUAUUUUUACUCCAUGCCCUAAUCAAAAUUUAAGCUCUAAAUCAUGGUGGGAAAGUGACUAAAAAUCAAAAGAAAAGCAGGUAAGUUUUAGGCAAACAAAAUAGAUUCAUUCAAUUUUCCUAGUACUUAAUGGAUUUGAGGCUUGGAGCCUCUUUAACUGAUGCCUAGAGAAAAUCAAAUGAACUUGACCACCUGGUAAGCGCUUGUGAGAGGAAGAUCAAGCAUGGAAGGGUUAUUGGCCUGGAAACCAGCAAGGGAUUCAAGCAAGCCAAGCCUCUGAAAGGACUGUAUAACAGUGAGGGAGGCCAGUGACUGGUCGGUGGCCAAGAAAAGUGGCAAAGUGAGCCUCACACAGUUGAACCCCAAGGACGCAAUCCUCUUGGAGAUGAGGUCAACUGGGUGGUUGCUGAGGCCCUCCGCCACCGCUGCUUCCUGAUGCGACGGCCAAUUCACGCAUGCCAGCUUCACCCGGGCGCCAUCUUCGUCUACUAUCCACCUUGAAUUGGUGUAUAGUGGCAGAGCCACUACAGGCUUCAGAGGUAGAAGACAUAGAAUAGAUAGAAAGAAGGACAAGAAGAAGAACCUCCCCAUCUGGAUUUGCAUUGACUGCUUGAUGGGUAGAUGGAAUGAGACAUAGUAUUGUAUUUAUAGGGUGGGGGCCCUUGUUUGUUUUUUCUUUUAAAAUUCCUUUUUUUUUUCUUUCUUCCCCACAUUAUGUUUUACUAGACCAAAUUCAUAUAUACAGUGAAAAAUGAUCAUAUAUUCAAAUAGUCAGCAUGUCUUUGAAUUGCUUUAUAAAAAUAUUAAAAAUUUAAGUUUUUUAUUUAAUUAAAAAAUAAAAAAAUUAAGUGUCAGAAAAUAAAUUUGUUUUUUUAUACCUCUAUCUAUUAAUUUUCAAUUUUAUACAAUAUUCAUAUCUUAUUUAUUUUAUAUAAACACAAAAAUUUAUUAUUCAUGAAUAAUCUCAAUCCCAAUCCCAUCAAAUUCUCACCAUCCAUUUACAUACAAAUAUUGAUUAGGGUUAAAUUCUUUGGUUGAUAGAUUUUGAAUUUAUCGUCUUUUCCACCGUGUUUCUUCCUAACAUGUCAAUAUUUUCUUCAAACCCAUCAUCUAAAUAACUCAUUAUUUGCAUGAUCCUUGAGUUAUACGAGUGAUUCACAUCGAAUGAAAGGUUUGAAAAUACUUUCUCUCGAUUAAUUUUCAUUGAUAUGAAAUACAUGUAUACAUACAAUAUACAACUGACUUUUUAGUGUAUCACUUCCUAUAAUUAUGAUGACUACUUUACAAUAGUAAACCGAUUUUAAAACAAAUGAAAUCAAAUAUUUAUGUAAUAUUCAAAAUGUUUAUAUAAUAUUCCAAAAUAAUCAACUAUUCUAUUUAGGGAUGAUAAUGAGUCAGGUUUUUUUGGGUACCCGUCUCACUCCAUCUCUAAUAAGACGGGGUUCAAUUUUAAUAAACAGGUUUGAGAAUUUUUUUUAAACCCGGGAUGGGUUCGGGUAUUGUCCUGUCUCGAUUAUAUAUAAAAUUAAAAUUUAAAAUUAAUUUAAUUUAAUUUUUAUUUCAUUAUUUUUAAUAUAUAGAUAAUAAUAAAAUAUUUUUAAUAAAUUAAGUUAUAAAAAAUAUAAUAAUUUAAUUAUUUAUAAAAUAUAUUUAUUUUAAUGUAAUUAAAAAUUUUAAAAAUAAUUUUUAAAAAAUACAAUUAAAAAAAAAAAGUUAAACGGCACGAGGGGUAUAAAAUUUUAUCAUACUCAUUCCUCCUUAUUUAAUUUUUUAAAUAGGACGAGAAUGAAAAUUAUUUUGAAUAAACGAAAUAGGGUUGGAUGACCUGUUGCCUUCCCUAAUCCUACUAAAAAGUCUCCAACAUGCCCCGCGAAAUGCUUACAAUCGUUGAGCAAUUGUAAUCAAUGAUCUUAACUUUCUUUUAUAAGGGGAAAGCGACAUUUUGAGAUGAAAUCUAUCCCGGGGGAUUUUCAUCUAAAACCUAGGAGUCUUAUCAUAUUCCCACAACAAUGCAUACACUGAAUUCAUUCAAAUAAGGAUGGGGUUUUUUCUUCAUAUUUAUUUGCAUAUUGUGGACUAUGAAUAGCAUUAUAAUUGGCGUUGGAAACACGCCAAGUUGCAGAACAUGGAAGUCAAAUAUUUGCUUGGAACUUUGGGGUUUGGAAAACUUGCAAGGCAAACCACAUCUACUUGGUUUCCCAUUGCUUUUUGUUUUUGCAUCUCAGCCUUUUGUUUAAUUCUUUUAAGCAAGUGAAUUUUAUACUUCUAUACUAUAAUUUAAAUUUUAAAAAUAAGUGUUUGAUGAUUUAAAUUUUCCUUUCAACAAAAUAUUAAAGAAUAAUUUAAAAAAAUACUUUUAAAUUCACUUUAAUUUUUCCUCAUUCUUACUUGUAGUUAUUAAUUAAUUUUUAUUUAUCCAUUAAAAAACCAUUGAUCAUUUAUGAAUAAUAAUAAGUAAUAAAUAAUAAAUAAUAAAUUAAAUUAGUGAUUUCUAUAAUAUAUAUAUAUAUAUAUAUAUAUAUGACAGAGACAAGAAGAGGUGAAUAAGAGGAAAUGAGGAUAGGGUUGGGGUGGGUUUUGGAGCAUUUUUACAUCCCUAUUUGUAAGUUUUGAAAGUUCCACGACAAUGCCAAUGGCUGUAGACCCUCUAUUUUGUCUUUCUCACACAUGUCGUUUAUAGCAAUUUCCUGGUGGCCCAUUAAUACUCGUGUAACCUAUCUUUUCUAAGCUACCUCGGAGACUUUGGUUGAGGGAUUAUCUGACCCCUUAUUGUGACCCUUGGCAGCCCUAACUUAGACUUAGGUUUUUCUUGCUUUUUUUUUAGGAUAGCUUUUAGGCACCCUAGGCCCACUUAGGCACCCUAGGCCCAUUUAGGUAACCCUAGGUCCAUUUAGGUAUCCCUAGGCCCAUUUAGGUAACCCUAGGUCCAUUUAGGUAUCCCUAGGCCCAUUUAGGUACACUUGGCCCAUUAGGCAUCACUUUAGGCCCAUUUAGACACUUUAGGCCCACUUAGUUACCUUAGGCCCACUUAGAUCACUUUAGGCCCAUUUAGUCACCCUAGGCCCAUUUAGCCACCCUAGACCCAUUUAGGUACACUUAGCCCAUUAGGCAUCACUUUAGGCCCAUUUAGACACUUUAGGCCCACUUAGUUACCUUAGGCCCACUUAGAUCACUUUGGGCCCAUUUAGCCACCCUAGGCCCAUUUAGGUAACCCUAGGCCCAUUUAGGCACACUUGGCCCAUUAGGCAUCACUUUAGGCCCAUUUAGACACUUUAGGCUCACUUAGUCACCCUAGGCCCACUUAGAUUACUUUAAGCCCAUUUAGGUACACUUGGCCCAUUAGGCAUCACUUUAGGCCCAUUUAGACACUUUAGGCCCACUUAGAUCACUUUAGGCCCAUUUAGGCACCCUAGACCCACUUAGUACACCCUAAGCCCAUUAGACGCACCUAGCCCAUUUGGUGUCACCCCAAGCCCACUUAGGCACCUUAGGUUCACUUAGAUACACCCUAGGCACCUUAGACCUACUUAAGCACCACCCUAAGCCCACUUAGGCACCCUAGGACGAUUUAGGCACUUUAGGCCCACUUAGGCACCUUAAGUCAAUUUAGGCACCAAUAGAAAGAUAAGAAACUGCCUAUGAUGUGAAGCUUGGAGUGGGUAGCUACCAUAUUGGUUCCAAGAGUAGACAUAUGGAAAAAAUGAAUGGAGCCAUGUUAUGGGGAAGAUUCAGCUUAUGUAUGAAAAAAGAAAUGAUGAGCAGCAAAGAAGGUAAUGUAAUUUGUCUUUUGGAAAAAGAAUCACAUGAUGAUGGAAGGAGGAUUCAGUAGUGUUUUGGGUCAAAGCAUAUUUUAAACGGAAAAGGAAAAGAGAUGAUAUAUUUUAGGAAGAAUUGAGGUGGCAUAUUGAAUAGACAGACUGUAUUUUGCAAGAAAGAGAGCAGAGGGAAUUCAGAGAAGGAAAGAAAAGUCAACUCACAUGCAAAAAAUGGAGGAAAGGCGUGAUGAAAGGGAUUGAGGUUUUUUUUUUUUGGGGAAUAUGAGAGACAAUUGAGGAGGGAGAAGGAGGAUUUUUUUUUUUAGAGGAGAGCCGGAAGAUAGAUGGGAGACAUCUUAGGGAGAAAAAACAAAAGAGUUUUGGAAGAAUUUUGGUUGAUUUUUUGAACGAGAUUCAGAAGAAAAUUAUAGACAUGGAGAUCACGUUUCCGGGUGGAACUUCUAAAGAACGCAUAGGCUGAUUCGGGGACUCUUUGUGGUGAAGGAACACGCGAGUCAGAUCGAAGAAGCGGACACAACUAGACUGAGAAGAAAAAGUGACACAACCGUGAAAGAGGGUAGCUGCAAGCAAGGAAAGGAAAUGAAAUCAUGGACGGUUAUAAUAGGAUUUAAUGUCUUCCGGUGAGUGUUUUGUUGGAUUUAAUGUAUUUAUAUGAGAUGUGUUAAUGAUUGUUUGAACAAAAUAUAAAUUAAGUUAGGAUUUUUAGUUUUUUUUUUUUGUUUUUUAAUUUAUUUUAUUUAUUUUAUUUUAGUUAUCAUUAUUAUUAUUGCUAAUCUCAUGUUACUUUUUGUAGGCAUUUGUCUUGGAUGAUUCGGGCUGAUAGUUUAAAAAUUAGAUGUUUUAUUCGUUUUGGAUAAUUUUGUGAUGUUAAUGAAAAGUUGAAAUAUUUUGCAAGUUUUUUUAGUUUUCAAUAAUUUGGAUAUUAAUGAAAAGUUAUAUUGUGCUUUUUUUUUUUUUUAGCUUUGGGAUAAUUCCUGAUAAUUGUUUGAAUAAAAUAUAAACCAAGUUAGGAUUUUUAGUUUUUUUUUGUUUUUGAAUUUAUUUUGUUUAUUUUAUUUUAGUUAUCAUUAUUAUUAUUGUUAAUCUCAUGUUACUUUUUGUAGGCAUUUGUCUUGGAUGAUUCGAGAUGAUAGUUUAAAAAUUAGAUGUUUUAUUAGUUUUGGAUAAUUUUGUGAUGUUAAUGAAAAGUUGAAAUAUUUUGCAAGUUUUUUUUUAGUUUUCAAUAAUUUGGAUAUUAAUGAAAAUUUAUAUUGUGCUUAAUUUUUAGUUUUGGGAUAAUUCCUGAUGAUGAUGAAGAAGUUUGAAUUUUUAAGUGUUUUGAUAAUUUUUAUGAUAGCUUUGUUCAAAAAUAAAAAAUAAAAAGUCGUAAUAUUUAAAUUAUUUUAAACAUUUUUUGUUCUCUUGGAUUAAAAUAUAAAAUAAUUGUCUAUCUUAUUUAAAAAUUUUAUUAUGUUUUAAAAAAAUAAAAAAAAAAUUAUGUGCUUUCUAAAUAAAGAGUUGUGGAAAUCAUCCUCUUGUAAAUAAAAUAAAGUAAAAAAAAAAUUAUUAAAGAAAAAUUUAAAUUAUAAAAGAUUUUCUUACAUUAAAAAAAAUAUUUUAAAAUUGUCAAAUAUAUUUUUUAUGAGGUUUUAUUAUUAUUAACAUUAUUAAUUAAUUAAUUUUUUUUUUCUCUUUUUGGUAAAUGAAUUUUUUGAAAGCAUUUUCUUUACAUGGAAUUAAAGCCAUUUUAUUUAAGUAAAUUGAAACUUCCUUUUAUAAGAUUAACUAAAACUAUGGACUCAAUUAUUACUAUUAUUAUUAUAAUUUUAAUACUCAUGAAAUAUUUCCUUUAUAAAAGUGAUAAUUACAUUUAUUUUCUUGUGAAUGAACUUUUUAAAAACAUUUCCUUUGCAUGGAAUUAAAGUCUUUUUAUUUAAAUAAAUUAAAGCUUCUUUUUAUAAAUAAAAUUCAUUAAAACUAUGGAAUCAAUUAUUGUUAUUAUUAUCAUUAUUUUUAAUACUUAUGAAAUAUUUCCUUUAUAAAAGUGAUAAUAUUUAUUUUCUUGUGAACAAACUUUUUUAAAAAAAAUAUUUUAUUUGCAUGAAAUUAUAGCCUUCUUAUUUAAGUGAAUCAAAACUUCCUUUUAUGAAUACAAUUCAUUAAAACUGUCGAAUAAAUAUUUUUUUUAAUACUCAUGAAUUUUUUAUUUUUUUAUUUUUUUAUUUUUAUUUUUACGAAAGUAAUAACAUUUAAUUCCAAGCUAUAUUUGUGUAUAUCAAUUGGGGAAUUGGUGAAACCCCUACAUAAAAUCAUCUUUUUAAAACUCAUCUUUAUUGUCACCCUUGCCAUUUAUUGAAAUCAUAUCUAUUUUUUUAGGAAUUAUAUACAAGAUGUAUGUGAUAAUUGAUGAUUUUGUAUACUUUGAUCACUUUUGCUAUGCUAAGUAGAUAACGAGCAUGCUAGGAUUUCUAUAUUUUAUUAUUUAUUAUCUAACCCCUUACAACUUGAGGAAGCACGUUACAAAUUAUCUAUGCUAUCUAAGUAUGUCCUCUAUCACCUACUUUCUGAAUUCUGUGAAUACGCUUGUCAUUGUGAAAUAAUGCUUAUGUCUAAUAAUGCUUGAGUGUUCUGAUAUACAUGUUUCAUUGUUUGAUUAUUUCUAAUAAAAUACAUGCUGGAUGAUAUAUUGUUUAAAUUAACCAUUGAUGUUUUAUGAUAGCGCUUGAGAAGCGGUCCAGGUACGCAUCCUAACCUUCCUUUAUUAUGAUUUGAUCUUGUUUGACAUGCUAUUUUUUGGAAUCAUCUAGCCUACUUAGGUAUCCAUAAUUAACCGGUUAAUUGCCACAUUCCCCUUAACUUAGUUAGUAGAGACCUUUAUAGGGCUUAGAGGGGUGCUACCUUUUAAAGGUACCUUCCCAAUAGGUAACCUAAUCCCCGGACUUAGACUCGGUGUGGACCCGCAUUUCUCACGUGCGUCCCCACUCGAUCGGGGAGACUCGCUUUUUAUUUGUGAAAAAAAUAUUUAGUUUUGGAAAAGUUGGAGCCGCCACUUAUUUUAUUUUUAUUUUAAAGGGAAAAUAAAACAAGAAAGAAAAACCCUAAAAUGUGACUCCAUAAUUUUUGGAAAAAAGCAUGUCUUUGAAAAACCCGAGUCUAAGUCCGGGGAUCAGGUUACCUAUUGGGAAGGAAUGUGGCAAUUAACCGGUUAAUUAUGGAUACCUAAGUAGGCUAGAUGGUUCCAAAAAAUAGCAUGUCAAACAAGAUCAAAUCAUAAUAAAGGAAGGUUAGGAUGCGUACCUGGACCGCUUCUCAAGCGCUAUCAUAAAACAUCAAUGGUUAAUUUAAACAAUAUAUCAUCCAGCAUGUAUUUUAUUAGAAAUAAUUAAACAAUGAAACAUGUAUAUCAGAACACUCAAGCAUUAUUAGACAUAAGCAUUAUUUCACAAUGACAAGCAUAUUCACAGAAUUCAGAAAGUAGGUGAUAGAAGACAUACCUAGAUAGCAUAGAUAAUUUGUAACGUGCUUCCUCAAGUUGUAAGGGGUUAGAUAAUAAAUAAUAAAAUAUAGAAAUCCUAGCAUGCUCGUUAUCUAAUUAGCAUAGCAAAAGUGAUCAAAGUAUACAAAAUCAUCAAUUAUCACAUACAUCUUGUAUAUAAUUCCUAAAAAAAUAGAUAUGAUUUCAAUAAAUGGCAAGGGUGACAGUAAAGAUGAGUUUUAAAAAGAUGAUUUUAUGUAGGGGUUUCACCAAUUCCCCAAUUGAUAUACACAAAUAUAGCUUGGAAUUAAAUGUUAUUACUUUCGUAAAAAAAUUAAAAAAUAAAAAAUAAAAAUUCAUGAGUAUUAAAAAAACAUUUAUUCGAUAGUUUUAAUGAAUUGUAUUUAUAAAAGGAAGUUUUGAUUUACUUAAAUAAGAAGGCUUUAAUUUCAUGCAAAGAAAAUAUUUUUUUAAAAAAAGUUUGUUCACAAGAAAAUAAAUGUUAUCACUUUUAUAAAGGAAAUGUUUCAUAAGUAUUAAUAAUAAUAAUAAUAAUAAUAACAAUAAUUGAUUCCAUAGUUUUAAUGAAUUUUAUUUAUAAAAAAUAAGCUUUAAUUUAUUUAAAUAAAAAGACUUUAAUUCCAUGCAAAGGAAAUGUUUUUAAAAAACUCAUUCACAAGAAAAUAAAUGUAAUUAUCACUUUUAUAAAGGAAAUAUUUCAUAAGUAUUAAAAAUAAUAAUAAUAAUAAUAAUAAUGAUAAUUGAUUCCAUAGUUUUAAUGAAUUUUUUUUUAAAAAAAAAAGUUUUAAUUUAUUUAAAUAAAAAGACUUUAAUUCCAUGCAAGAAAAUAUUUUUAAAAAGUUCAUUCACAAGAAAAUAAAUGUAAUUAUCACUUUUAUAAAGGAAAUAUUUCAUGAGUAUAAUAAUAAUAAUAGUAAUAAUUGAUUCCAUAGUUUUAAUUAAUCUUAUAAAAGGAAAUUUCAAUUUACUUAAAUAAAAAAAGGCUUUAAUUCCAUGCAAAGAAAAAAGUUUAUUCACAAGAAAAUAAAUGUUAUCACUUUUAUAAAGGAAAUAUUUUAUGAGUAUUAAUAAUAACAAUAAUAAUAAUAAUUGAUUCCGUAGUUUUAAUGAAUUUUAUAAAAGGAAGUUUUAAUUUAUUUAAAAAAAGACUUUAAUUCCAUGUAAAGAAAAUGCUUUCAAAAAAUUCAUUGACAAAAAAGAGAAAGAAAAAAAAAUUAAUUAAUUAAUAAUGGUAAUAAUAAUAAAACCUCAUAAAAAAUAUAUUUGACAAUUUAAAAACAUUUUUUUUAAUGGAAGAAUAUCUUUUAUAAUUUAAAUUUUUCUUUAAUAAUUUUUUUUAACUUUAUUUUAUUUACAAGAGGAUGAUUUCCACAACUCUUUAUUUAGAAAGCACAAAAAAUUUUAUUAUUUUUUAUUAUUUUUUUAAAACAUAAUAAAUUUUUUAAAUAAGAUAAACAAUUAUAUGUUAAUCCAAGAGAACAAAAAAAUGUUUAAAAUAAUUUAAAUAUUACAACUUUUUAUUUUUGAAUUUUGAACAAAGCUAUCAUAAAAAUUAUCAAAACACUUAAAAAUUCAAACUUUUUCAUCAUCAUCAAGAAUUAUCCCAAAACUAAAAAUUAAGCACAAUAUAAAUUUUCAUUAAUAUCCAAAUUAUUGAAAACUAAAAAAACUUGCAAAAUAUUUCAACUUUUCAUUAGCAUCACAAAAUUAUUCAAAAUGAAUAAAACAUCUAAUUUUUAAACUAUCAUCCCGAAUCAUCCAAGACAAAUGCCUACAAAAAGUAACAUGAGAUUAGCAAUAAUAAUAAUGAUAACUAAAAUAAAAUAAACAAAAUAAAUUCAAAAAAACAAAAAAAAAAAACUAAAAAUCCUAACUUGAUUUAUAUUUUAUUCAAACAAUCAUCAAGAAUUAGCCCAAAGCUAAAAAAAAAAAUAAGCACAAUAUAACUUUUCAUUAAUAUCCAAAUUAUUGAAAACUAAAAAAAAAACUUGCAAAAUAUUUCAACUUUUCAUUAACAUCACAAAAUUAUCCAAAGCGAAUAAAACAUCUAAUUUUUAAACUAUCAUCCCGAAUCAUCCAAGACAAAUGCCUACAAAAAGUAACAUGAGAUUAACAAUAAUAAUAAUGAUAACUAAAAUAAAAUAAAUUCAAAAACCAAAAAAAACUAAAAAUCCUAACUUAAUUUAUAUUUUGUUCAAACAAUCAUUAACACAUCUCAUAUAAAUACAUUAAAUCCAACAAAACACUCACCGGAAGACAUUAAAUCCUAUUAUAACCGUCCAUGAUUUCAUUCCCUUUCCCUUAACAAAUAAAUAAAAACAUGACAAUAGCAUCAUUCACAUCAGGACUGACCAUAUAUUCACAUUCGUUUGCAUUUUAAAUCCAACAAAACGAAGUCAAAUAACACUAACCUUGCUUGCAGCUACCCUCUUUAACGGUUGUGUCACUUUUUCUUCUCAGUCUAGUUGUGUCCGCUUCUUCGAUCUGGCUCGCGUGUUCCUUCACCACAAAGAGUCCCCGAAUCAGACUAUGCGUCCUUUAGAAGUUCCACCCGGAAACGUGAUCUCCAUGUCUAUAAUUUUCUUCUGAAUCUCGUUCAAAAAAUCAACCAAAAUUCUUCCAGAACUCUCUUUUUUUUCUCCCUAAGACGUCUCCCAUCUAUCUUUCGGCUCUCCUCUCAAAAAAAAAUCCUUCUUCUCCCUCCUCAAUUGUCUCUCAUAUUCCCCAAAAAAAAAACCUCAAUCCCUUUCAUCACGCCUUUCCUCCCCUUUUUUGCAUGUGAGUUGACUUUUCUUUCCUUCUCUGAAUUCCCCCUGCUCUCUUUCUUGCAAAAUACAGUAUGUCUAUUCAAUAUGCCACCUCAAUUCUUCCUAAAAUAUAUCAUCUCUUUUCCUUUUCCGUUUAAAAUAUGCUUUGACCCAAAACACUACUGAAUCCUCCUUCCAUCAUCAUGUGAUUCUUUUUCCAAAAGACAAAUUACAUUACCUUCUUUGCUGCUCAUCAUUUCUUUUUUCAUACAUAAGCUGAAUCUUCCCCAUAACAUGGCUCCAUUCAUUUUUUCCAUAUGUCUACUCUUGGAACCAAUAUGGUAGCUACCCACUCCAAGCUUCACAUCAUAGGCACUUUCUUAUCUUUCUAUUGGUGGACUUCCUACAAAAUUUCAAAGUUAAUAAAGUAAUAGUAAUAAUAAUAAUAAUAAUAAUAAUGAAAACUUUUAAACAAAAUUAUUAAAUUAAAUUAAAUAAGUAAAGACAAGUAUUAGGGAAAAGUGAUAAAAUAAUAGGAAAAUAAAAUAAAUGAAGAAAUAUACAAAUUAAUAAAUAAAAUAAAAUAAACAAAAAUAUAAGAGUAAAAAAAAAAAUUCAAGCAAUGUGAUUUUACAAAAACGAGUCUUGCAAGUCAUACAAGCCAUGCAACCAUGCCCAUGCAAAAAAAAUGAUCUAAAUGGGCCUAAGGUGCCUAAAUGGGCCUAGAAUGCCUAAAUUGGCCUAAGGUGCCUAAAUGGGCUUAAGGUGUCUAAAUGGGCCUAGGGUGCCUAAAUGGGCCUAAGGUGCCUAAAAGGGCCUAUGGUGCCUAAAUUGACUUAAGGUGCCUAAGUGGGCCUAAAGUGCCUAAAUCGUCCAAGGGUGCCUAAGUGGGCUUAGGGUGGUGCUUAAGUAGGUCUAAGGUGCCUAGGGUGUAUCUAAGUGAACCUAAGGUGCCUAAGUGGGCUUGGGGUGACACCAAAUGGGCUAGGUGCGUCUAAUGGGCUUAGGGUGUACUAAGUGGGCCUAGGGUGCCUAAAUGGGCCUAAAGUGAUCUAAGUGGGCCUAAAGUGUCUAAAUGGGCCUAAAGUGAUGCCUAAUGGGCCAAGUGUACCUAAAUGGGCCUAAAGUAAUCUAAGUGGGCCUAGGGUGACUAAGUGAGCCUAAAGUGUCUAAAUGGGCCUAAAGUGAUGCCUAAUGGGCCAAGUGUGCCUAAAUGGGCCUAGGGUUACUUAAAUGGGCCCAAAGUGAUCUAAGUGGGCCUAAAGUAACUAAAUGGGCCUAAAGUGUCUAAAUGGGCCUAAAGUGAUGCCUAAUGGGCCAAGUAUACCUAAAUGGGCCUAGGGAUACCUAAAUGGGCCUAGGGUGGCUAAAUGGGCCUAAAGUGAUCUAAGUGGGCCUAAGGUAACUAAGUGGGCCUAAAGUGUCUAAAUGGGCCUAAAGUGAUGCCUAAUGGGCCAAGUGUACCUAAAUGGGCCUAGGGAUACCUAAAUGGACCUAGGGUUACCUAAAUGGGCCUAGGAUGCCUAAGUGGGCCUAGGGUGCCUAAAAGCUAUCUUAAAAAAAAAGCAAGAAAAGCCUAAGUCUAAGUUAGGGCUACCAAGGGUCACAAUAAGGGGUCAGAUAAUCCCUCAACCAAAGUCUCCGAGGUGGCUUAAAAAAGAUAGGUUACACGAGUAUUAAUGGGCCACCAAGGAAUUGCUAUAAACGACAUGUGCGAAGAAGACAAAAUAGAGGGUCUACACUCGGGUUUUUCAAAGACAUGUUUUUUUCCAAAAAUUAUGGAGUCACAUUUUAGGGUUUUUCUUUCUUGUUUUAUUUUCCCUUUAAAAUAAAAAUAAAAUAAGUGGCGGCUCCAACUUUUCCAAAACUAAAUAUUUUUUCACAAAUAAAAAGCGAGUCUUGCCGAUCGAGUGGGGACGCAUGUGAGAAAUGCGGGUCCACAAUGGCAUACUACUUCCAUUUGCUAGACUUAACCAUUAUUAAGUAAUGUAAUUAAUUAUAUUUUCUGCAUAUGCUUAAUUGUAGGAAAUAUUAUUUUGUCUCUAGCCUUAACAUGUGUAUUAGUUGUUUUUGAUAUUUUUUACUGCAUUUUUAUAUCAUAUAAAUUUUAGUCACUAGUUAUUUUCAUUGAGCAUUGAAAUUCCAAAAUAUUCUUUAUUUCUAUUCUCUCUGCUUCCCUUUCUUCUAUAAGAUAUUGUUUUUGACUACUUACAACCCACAAGAUUUUGAUCAGCGGUGCGAGGUACGAGAUCCCAAGUACCAUUACGGAGUAGAGCAUCAAAUUCUUCUGACAUUGCUUGAUGCCAUCGAGGGUCCUUAAGGGCCUGGGAAACACAGGUGAGCUCAGUGAUGGGUUCGGUAGGGGUAGUGGCAAGCAUGGUCAGCUUUGUGGAUGGUUUGACAAUGUUGUUUUUGGCACGAGUGAUCAUGGAGUGGUGAUUAAGGGGAUUAACAAGGUGGAUUGGUGGUGGGUUCAAAGCCGGAAGUGGUAUUUGUCCAAGUGGUGGAGAAGAAGAUACAAUAGGUUGGCAUAGAGUCUUCAAAUUGAUGAAUAAUAGUUUUUCAUUGAUUAUUUCAUUCAUUCAUGUACAUAGUAUAUAUAGAGGGUAAUCACCAUUCUAAGAAUGGGAAAGAAUUAUACAAUGAAUGAAUGAUAUAAGGAAAGAACAACUAAUAUCCGAAUAUCUCAACAUUCCUAAUAUUUCAACUUUCCUAAUAUCUCAACAUUUCUAAUAUCUCAACACUCCCCCUCAAGUUGGUGCAUAGAUGUCACACAUGUCCAACUUGUCUAAAAAUUUUGAGAACACUCGACUUGACACUGUAGCUUUGGUGAGGAUAUCGGCCAAUUGAUCUUCUGAUAGAAUCUUAGGCAAUUCCACAAUCUUAUCAUCUAACUUCUCCUUAAUGAAGAAUCUGUCCACCUCGACAUGCUUUGUACAAUCAUGUUUUACUGGAUUAUGAGCAAUAUCACAUGCGGCUUUAUUGUCACAAAACAAUCGGAUUGGUUGCCUAGAUAGGUAACCUAAAUCCUAUAAGAGGAGUCUUAGCCAUAAUGUCUCACAAAGUCCUAGAGUUAUACCCCUAAAUUCCGCUUCUGCACUUGAAUGAGCGACGACAUUCUGCUUCUUACUUUUCCAUAUCACAAAAUUACCACCUACAAAGGUAAAGUAACCAGAUGUAGAUCACCUAUUAUCCACUGCACUGGCCUAAUCAGCAUUAGUAUAUACUUCUAUACUCUGAUGAUCAACAUUUUUAGUGAACAAAAUUCCCUUCCUAUGAGCAUUCUUCAAAUACCUCAAAAUACGCAUGACUGCAUUCAUAAAUUGCUCUCCAGGAUUAUGCAUGUAUUGACUUAGUACACUCAAUGCAUAAGCAAGAUCUGGUCUUGUAUGAGCUAAGUACACUAAUCUCCCCACAAGUCUCUGGUAUCUUCCCUUAUCAAUUGAUACUUGAUUAGGCUCACCACACAAUUUCAGACCUUCUUCUAUUGGCGUAUCAACAGGUUAACAUCUCGACAUUCCAGUCUCCUAUAAAAAAUCUAAGGCAUACUUUCUUUGAGACAGAAAAAUUCCUUCACUUGAUCGAGAAACUUCAAUCCCAAGAAAGUAUUUCAAAGAACCUAGAUCUUUCAUUUCGAAUUCUCUAGAUAAAUAAUUUUGCAGAGCUUUUCUUUAUUCAGGAUCAUUUCCUGUAACUACCAUGUCAUCCACAUAUACGAUGAGUGUUGUAAUCUUACCAUGUUACUUUUUCAGGAACAAAGUGUGAUCUAAAUUACUUUGACGAUAGCCAANNNNNNNNNNNNNNNNNNNNNNNNNNNNNNNNNNNNNNNNNNNNNNNNNNNNNNNNNNNNNNNNNNNNNNNNNNNNNNNNNNNNNNNNNNNNNNNNNNNNNNNNNNNNNNNNNNNNNNNNNNNNNNNNNNNNNNNNNNNNNNNNNNNNNNNNNNNNNNNNNNNNNNNNNNNNNNNNNNNNNNNNNNNNNNNNNNNNNNNNNNNNNNNNNNNNNNNNNNNNNNNNNNNNNNNNNNNNNNNNNNNNNNNNNNNNNNNNNNNNNNNNNNNNNNNNNNNNNNNNNNNNNNNNNNNNNNNNNNNNNNNNNNNNNNNNNNNNNNNNNNNNNNNNNNNNNNNNNNNNNNNNNNNNNNNNNNNNNNNNNNNNNNNNNNNNNNNNNNNNNNNNNNNNNNNNNNNNNNNNNNNNNNNNNNNNNNNNNNNNNNNNNNNNNNNNNNNNNNNNNNNNNNNNNNNNNNNNNNNNNNGCGAUAUCCCUUUUUGUGCAAUGCAUAUCCAACAAACACACAUUGCAAUGCACGGGAAGUUAACUUGGUACGUUGGUGUUUGUGUAGAUGCACAAAUGCCACGCAACCAAAAACAUGAGGAGGUAGAUUUAAGACGGUUGGGGCAACUACGACAUUAGUAAGAGGUUGGAGAAGUGUUUGGAAGUAAUUGAGAUGGAAGGUACCCGAUUGAUCAAGUAUACGACAGAUGUGAUUGCUUAUCCCGAAUAAGAUAUCGGUAUUUGUACUGCUAUCAAGGAAACACGAACAACCUCUAACAAGUGUCGAUUUUUCCGUUCAGCGACUCCAUUUUGCUGGUGUGUAUUGGAACAAGUAGUCUGAUAAAUGAUGUCAUGUCCUUCUAAAUAAUUUUGAAGAUCAGAACUCUGAUAUUCUCCACCAUUAUUGCUACAUAGAACCCGAACCUUUGCAUUGUACUGAGUUUCAAUCAUUUUAUGAAAUUUUUGAAACAACAAGUUCACUUCAUCUUUGGUCUUCAUCAAGCAUAACCAUGUCAUUCUAGUAUAAUCAUCAAUAAAAGUAACAAAUCAACGCAAACCACUCAAAGUUGGAACUUUGGAUGUGCCUCAAACAUCAGAAUAUAUAACCAUAAAAAGAAACGGACUUUUAUUCAAAUUUAACAGAAACAAAGCACGAUGGCUUUUAGCCAAUUCACAAACAUCACAACAGAAACCAGAAAUAUCACUAUUUGCAAAUAAACUAGGAAACAAUUUUUUUAAAUAACCAAAGGAAGCAUGUCCCAAACGUCGAUGCCAUAACCAAAUUUCAGACUUUUUCUUCUCCCUCUCAGAUCCAUCUGCCAUCAAGGUUUGUCGCAACUUAUUUGAAUCAUUUGACUGCAAGUCCAAGUAAUAGAGUUUUCCCCGCUUAAUACCACAACCAAUCGUCUCUCUUGUUUGGAUGUCCUUAAAAACACCAAAUUCAGGCCAAAAAAUGACAAUACAAGAUAAAGUUGUAGUGAUUUGAGAAAUUGACAAAAUAUUGUAAUCUAAAGAUAGAACAACUAAAACAUAAUCCAAAUUCAAAGUAUCAGUAAGAGUUAAGGAUCCUUCCCCAAUGACUAUGGUUGUGUUACUAUUGGCUAUGGAAAAAAAAAUUUGUGAGUAAGGUCUAAGGGGUGAGAUCUGUCUAGAAUCAAAAGUCAUAUGAUCUGUAGCACCAGAAUCAAUUAUCCAUGCACUAUUAAUAACAGGUGUAGAAGUAUUUAAAAAUUGACCACCAUAAUCUGUAACGGCUACCAAUGCAGAAGCUUUCUCAACAACAUUAGUCUCUGUUUUUAUUUUGGCAACAACUACAGUCAAGGUUUUCUUAGAAUCCUUCUUCCGUUGAUCACGAUUAUGAUCCCACCAAUCUGGAUAUCCCACAAUUUCAAAGCGACGACUCUUGGUAUGACCAGUCUUAUUGCAGUGAGUGCAUUUGAAGGUUGACUUAUCAAUAUUAGGGUUUGUCUUAGGAUGGUUGGUCUUGGAUUGGUCCUACCAAUUCUAGGUUGAUCGCUGUCGGACUACCAUAGUUGAGGUGUCAGGGUUGUCAAAUUCUACUUUCAUACUAGCAUGACGCUCUGUCUCUCGUCGAAUCAAUGCAUAGCAUUCUUCCAAAUCAGGAAGAGGAUCUUUGCGUAGAAUCUCUCCUCGAACUUGCUCAAAGUCACCAUCCAAUCCAGUAAGAAAGAUGUGCACCCGUUGUCGUUCAAUGGAUUUCCGAUAUGUUGCAAUGUCCUCAGGGUCUUUCAUGACUACCUUAUCCCGAUGAUCCAAUUCGCAAAAAAAUUUAGUUAACUUUCCAUAAUAUUCAGAAAGAGACGCCGCUUUGUUUGGCAAUGAAGGCUUUUUGAUUCAAAUUAAAAACUUGUAAUUCAUCACUUCCAUCAUAGAAGGCCUUUGAUAAUGCACUCCAAAUUUCUUGAGCGGUGGGUAAGCGUAAGUAACGCUUCAUAAUUUCUAGACUCAUGGACAUUAACAACCAUCUCUUCACCUUUUAAUUCUCAGCAUACUAUUUUUCAUAUCCAUCUUCUGACUCUUUUGGUCAAUUUAUCUUACCUCGAAUGUAGGAAAGUUUUUCUCGUUCAGCAAUAUGCAUCUCCACGAGUUAUGACCAAACGUCAUAGUUUGAUUCAGUUAAAAUAAUUCCUAGAUUAAAAGUACCUUCAGAUUGAAAAACAAUAGUAUUUUUUUCACUCAUUUUUUUUAUUAUUAUUAUUAUCAAAAAGGAGGGGCGAUAGCUGGCCUUACCAACAAAAUAUCCAGGAUUUCAGUUCCAUAGCUCCGAUACCAUCUUCAAAUUAAUGAAUGGUAGUUUUUCAUUGAUUAUUUAAUUCGUUCAUGUACAGAGUAUAUAUAGAGGGUAAUCACCAUUCUAAAAAUGGGAAAGAAUAAUACAAAGAAAGAAUGAUAUAAGGAAAGAACAACUAAUAUCAUAAUAUCUCAACAUGGAGAUGGAUUAGGAAUAGAAAGACAAGGCAUUUGAACAAAAAUAUUAGGAAAGCUCAGAGAAAGGGAACCUAUGAGACCUUUAUUACCAUUACUCAUUAGUGCUUCCAAAUAAAGAACCGAGUUACCAGAAAGAGGAGAUGCUAAAGAGAUGUUCGAUGGAGGAGUACUAGUAGGAGUAGGGGUGGAUAAAUGGGGCGAGAACCAGGACUCUAUGAAUGAGAAAGGCAGAGAGGGAUUGGAUGUGGCAAAUGGAAAGAUGGAUUCAACAAACUUGACAUGACAAGAUGUGUAGGUUUUAUAAGUGGUGGGAUCAAGACAAAUAUAGGCACUUUGAAAGAGUGAGUAGCCAAUCAAUACACAUGCAUGGUUUGGACUUGAACUCAAGUUUAUGAGAAUUAUAAGGACAUAACCAUGGAUAACACAAGCAACCAAAGACUCGAAGUUUUGCUAGAUUUGGCGAUUAACUAAAAAGUUUUUGGUAAGAAGAAAGAAACCUAAUAUUAUGUUUUGGUAAUCAAUUGAUCAAAUAGAUAGUAGUGGCAAAGGCUUCGAGCCAAAAUGAUAAGAACAUAGAAUCAUGAUGCAAUAAAGUGAGGGUUGUCUCAACUAUAUGAUGAUGAUGACGCUCUGAGUAUCCAUUGCGUUCAGGAGUAUGGGGGGAAUGGUGAGGCAGGAGACACCAUGAUGAGCCAAAAAAUAAAAAUUUGAGAGCAAGAUAUUCCCCACCAUUGUCUGUGUAUAGUUGUAUCAUUUGUUUGUUAUAAAAAUUUUCCACAAGCACUUUGAAACGAAUAAAAAUAUCUAAAACAUCAGACUUUUUUUUUCAUGGGAUAAAACCAAAUAUAUUUUGUAAAAUGGUCAAUGAAAAUAAUAUUUAUUACCAUUGAAGGAUUCCACAGGAGAGCACCAUACAUCAGAAUAAAGAAGUUGAAGAGGAGAGGUGCCAAUGAGCGAUGAUGCAGAAAAAGGAAGCUUAUGGCUUUCAUUACUGUGACAAGAGUUGCAAGAAAAGUUCCUAAUACUAGUGGAAGAUAAGUGAAUGCACUAAGAUGACACGAGGGGACUAAGAACUUUGGCAAAAGGAUGAUCGGGACGGUGAUGCCAAUCAGAAGUAGAUGCUUUAAUAGAAGCAAAGGCAAGUAAUGGUUUGGAUUUCUCAUGGACGGUCAGCCACUCGUAGACUCCAUCCUUAGAAUUAUCUGUCAAAAGCGUUGCUCCCAUUCGAAGAUCUUUCAUAAGAAAAGAGCGAGGUAAGAACUCAAUAGAAAUAUUGUUAGUUAAGCAAAAGUGAGAAACAGAAAUUAGGUUGCGUCUCAUAAAGGGCACACAAAGAACAUCAUGUAAAAAAAUGAGUAAGGGGAGGAUUGAAGAGUAGAAGAACCCAUGUGAGUGAUGGGGAAACUAGUGCCAUCACCAAUCAUGAUAUCAUUAUAAACAGUGGAAUCAGAGUAAAGAAGGAGAAUCUAUAUGUCACUUGUCACAUGAUGAGAGGCGUCAAAAUCCAACAACCAAUCAAUGGAAGAAGGAGCAGUCGAGGAGGCAAAAUGAGCCUGGGGAGUUGUCGACCGAGUGGAUAGGGACGGAUAAGCAGCCUAGGGUAUAUGCUUAUAGGUAGAACAUCAUUUGGCAAAGUGGCCUUCAAUACCACAAAGCUGACAAAAACCUCGGAAAGGUUUGGGAGGUGGGCGAGGUUGGUGAGAACUAGCAGGAAGGUGAGGGUUAUUGGAAGAAGAGUUACGACGAUAAGAAUUGGCCUUAUAAUUAUGAUGUGGAGAAGAGUUGGGAUUCUUAGUGGUCAAAUAAAUAAAAGUUGGAGUUAAUAAUUUCUUGCCCUGGUCUUGUUUCAAUUGGGCUUCAUGGGUGAUAAGCUUCUCAUGAAGUUCAUCGAAGGAAAUAAGGGUCUCUCUAGCUUUGACUGCAAAAGCAAGAGAAGAAUAUUUUGUCACCAAGACCACGAAGAAUUUUGAGAGUGAGAUCGUCAAUAUCAUAGGCAACAUUCAUGAGGAGAAGCUCAUCAUUGCACGUUUUAAUGAGUUGCAUAUACUCCAUAAUAGUUGUCUCACCCUCGUGCAGAUUGUCUAGGAUUCCCUUGAGAGACAUGAUACGACAUAUGGCUUUGCAUAAGUGUUGAAGAGAGUGGUCCAAGGAGCAUGAGAUGUUGUGGCAGUGGUAAUGAAGGGAAUGAGAGUGGGCAUGAUCGAACCGAUGAUGGCGUUGAGAAUAAGCUGGUCUUGGUGCACCCAAAGAGAAUACGAGGGAUUGGGAGUCAGGUCGUUUGUUGUGGUGAGGGUCGGGGGUGGACAAGAACUAGCGCUGUCAACAAAUCUGCAGACAAGGUCGUAGCCAAUAAUAAGGGUAGUAAACUGCAGGCGCCAUGCAAAAUAGUUUGUGUGAGUUAAUUUAAGUGGGGCUUGAGCAGUCACAUUGAUGGUAAUGAGAUGUGGCACAUAGUCAGGGGCCAGAAUAAUCACAAGUGAGGUAGGAGACGAGACGGGGGAGUCGUGAGUAGCAGAGAAGACAAUGGGAAAAAGGUGGGUCGAGGGCUCUAAGAGUAGAGAGAAUCUAAUACCAUAUAAGAUAUUGUUUUUGAUCGAUCAACUCAACUUAUCUGUUUAUUGAGUUCAAUAAUAUAUAUAGGUGUUUUACAAAUUCAAAAUAAAUGUACAUCUCGGAACUGAUACAAGUAGUUUACCUAUAUAUGUACAUGCUAAUUCAAAAAUAAAACAAAUUCAAAUACAAAUAAACUUGCUAUCCAAAAAUGUAGUGAAAUAAUAGAUAUACAAAAUAUAUAUACUAAUAUUAUCCCAAUAUUUUAGGCAAAUCAGUAGACGUCUCAAUAUCUUCCUUACCUGCCAAUUUGCAAUGAACCCAUUACAUAAUUUUAAUUGAUUUCCAAAGAGAGAAUGCGCAGGCCACAAUAUCUAGAAUCACAAUUUCAAGAACUACAAAAAAAGAAAAACAUAUAUAGAACUGAUAGCUAAUGUGAUCAGUCAUAAUUAUUUGAAGUGUUGCCCAAUCAAGUAAUAUAUCUUGUUCUAAACAAUUAUAAUAGCAGCUAGCAUUUCUCUUUUACAUGCAUGCUGAAAGACCAAGAUUUUUAGGUGUACGUAGAGCCUCAUUUAUAUAAGCUAUGGGUCUGCUUUCUUGUAACAAAAUUGCUUCUUUCCCAUUCCUUGGAUAUAUCACACUAUGUUACAAAGCUUUUUUGGAAGCUUUGCAUAGGCAACAUAGGAGUGGUACCCACGAUGCUUUUAAGUUGCUCAAAGGCGUCUUCAAGUGAUUUGGUUCAUUAGGAAUUAGUCAUUACCUUUAUUCAACAAAAAGAUGAAUGGUUGACUAAUCUUGUCAUAAUCCUUAAUAAGUAUCCCUUGAUUUGAGUGGAAUUCUAUGUUCAUGUGCCUAGGAGGCGGUGAACCCUUAGGUUCUAUAAACAUAGUCGAGUAUUGCUACAACAGUUGAGCUAAUUCCUUAGGUUCCUUUUCUCCCUCUUCAGCUGUAUUUUUUUCUACUUGUAUAGAGAAAAUUUGAACCUUGAUGCUUAAAAUAUGUGCUUUAAAUCCCUAUAUGAUAUGCUAAAACUAACUUCAUGAAGCCUGUAGUACUACCUCUGAACACGAAUUUCCUUCCAUUGACAGUAAAUUGCUUUCUUAGAUUGUUAAAAUUCCGCCUAAUGGGUCUCAAGCUAACAAUAUUGGAUCCUCAAAACCAUAUUAUUGCAUCCUUCCAAGGUAUGAGUCUCAAAUCAGCUUAAUAAAAACUUCUUCCCUAGCAAGUUCCAUUUCAAUUGCCUGCAAACUGCAUCACCAGUAUUCAUUAUUGAAUUAUAGAUUGCACGGAUCUACCCUCAUGGAUUCACACACACAGCCCUUGGCCACAGUGGGCUCUGGUUCUCUUCAUGCAAUGGCUGUAAUUUGACUGUAAAUUGGCACACUGAAGUUGGGAUAUUCUUAGAACUAGCUUUAAUUUAUCUAAAAACAGAAGCUACUUAUGUAUUCUUACAAGUUUCUAUAGAAGAUACGUAUAACACUGAUAGCAUGUACCUGAGCCCAUCAGAAUAACUACAUAUUUUAAGCUUAAAAAGCCCAUCGCUGAGGGAGAUAGGCUUUGAUAAAGUUAUUUUCAAGAUUUUUCCUUUUUUUACAUACAUAUAUAUAUAUAUAUAUAUAUAUAAUUUAUUCACACACACACACACACAACAAAGUUUUCCUGCUUUUUCACCGGCAUGUUGAGCUCCACGCAAGUCCAAGGUGGAUCUAGCCGAUCUGAAGAAUAGGUCUUCUUGUAAUAUUUGUGCUGUCAACAACCUUGAACCACUGGCUCCCAGGAUCACACAUAUCAUCUCUACCCAAGCACUUGCAAGCAUCUGUGACAAUGUUGCUGCUGGAGUCUACAUCCAAGCAAACUGUGGUGCCAUCCCCCAGCUUAGUUGACAGGUACAUCUUUGAAUCUGAAAUGAUCUCCCAAUUUGACCCAGGUUGAGUGCAUAUUAUACUGAGUUUUGCAGGCUUCCCUAGCCCAACUGCUUGAAGGCAGAAGUAUGUUCCCUUCACUAUCAAUAUCUUUUGGGGGGUGUAGCCCCAAGCUUCUGACUCGGUGCAGGGACCUAGCUUUAAUGGUUCAGACAAUGAUUCCCUUAGAAUGCAAAGACCAGUCGAAGGAUGCAAGAUUAUUUUAUGUGGUCUGACUCGGGAUACAUCUGGCCCUGCAUCAAAUAUGAAACCACACAAAAUUUAGAUAUGAAUAAUUAAGUAAAUUUGCCUUAUUUGCCUUAGCAAACAUACCUUGCAAAGGAGAUUGGAGGGCUGAAAUCCUCUGGAAGAAGUUCGAGUUCCAAUUCAUUAACCCAUUAGUCUCUUCCAGUGUCCACAAUGCCCAAUCGAAGUCCAGUUCAGCCGCCAGGCCAAAGAAGCAAUUUAAGUGCCUGUUGUCAUCCACCCCAAGCUCACUCACAAACAUUAAUGGCCACCCUUGCUGUAGCAGAACCCCUCCUCCCCUCAUUAUGCUGUCCACCACUCUCCCGCACACCUUGUUGGGGUUGCUGGUUUCCCCAGCCCUCCCAACCCGCGAUCCAUGCCAAUGCAUCUCCAACACUAAUUUCCCUGUGAAUGUCAAUUCCAGCUGUUGAUUGAGGAGGAAAGAUAGGUCUGUACCAUCACUCAAGCCAGAGAUUAUGACCAGAACAUCUGGGUUGGCUGAGUGCACUGCUUCAGCUCCUUUCUGCAUGUACCUGGUCAAUUCAUGAAUAGCUUUAUACCAAGACCAAUUCCUACAAAUAUGGUAACUAAUAGUUUGGAAAUAUAACAACCCCCUCCCUUACGUGUCCGUGUAGAUAUUGUCCAAUCCAAUGGGACCCUCACCAUACAAUACAAUGCAUAUAAGAUUAAGAAGAACCCAUGAAUACAUAACAUUCUUCAAUUUGGUCCCGCACAUUACGGAAUGAAUCAUUACAGGAAAAUAGAGAUCAUCACCUGUACCAGUCCUUCACAUUCUGAUUGGGGCAUCGGAGCUCAUUCCUCAAGCUCAUGCCCACCACAUUAGGGACACCGCUGAACAUGGUGGCAAUCCGGGUGAGGCCCUUGACCCACAAGUCUGGAUUGAAGUGCUGGUCGCCAAAGACGCCAUUGCCAUGGAAGCUGGGCUCGCUGAAGUGACUGUCUAGUAUGACCAUCAUAUUGUUGUCCGCAAGGUUAGACACCACCGCCUGCCAUAAUAACUUGAGAUAAAUACAAAACAGCGUUGGGUCUGUGCCUUUUUUACAAUACCGGUGUUUUAUCAUUAAAUAAUCACAAAUAUUAUUCUUUCCGAAUACUGUAGCUGUAACAGUGAGGGCGUUUGUCCAAAUUCACAAGCCACCUAUUUUUAAAUCAAGAUAAUCAUGAAAUCAUUUGAUAGUGUAAGAACCAAGGAACCAUUUCAAAAGCCUCCUAUUUUUACUCCAUGCCCUAAUCAAAAUUUAAGCUCUAAAUCAUGGUGGGAAAGUGACUAAAAAUCAAAAGAAAAGCAGGUAAGUUUUAAGCAAACAAAAUAGAUUCAUUCAAUUUUCCUGGUUCUUAAUGGAUUUGAGGCUUGGAGCCCCUUUAAUUGAUGCCUAGAGAAAAUCAAAUGAACUUGACCACCUGGUAAGCGCUUGUGAGAGGAAGAUCAAGCAUGGAAGGGUUAUUGGCCUGGAAACCAGCAAGGGAUUCAAGCAAGCCAAGCCUCUGAAAGGAUUGUCUAACAGUGAGGGAGGCCAGUGACUGGUCGAUGGCCAAGAAAAGUGGCAAAGUGAGCCUCACACAGUUGAACCCCAAGGACGCAAUCCUCUUGGAGAUGAGGUCAACUGGGUGGUUGCUGAGGCCCUCCGCCACCGCUGCUUCCUGAUGCGACAGCCAAUUCACGCAUGCCAGCUUCACCCGGGCGCCAUCUUCGUCUACUAUCCACCUUGAAUUGGUGUGUAGUGGCAGAGCCACCACAGGCUUCAGAGGUAGAAGACAUAGAAUAGAUAGAAAGAAGAAGAACCUCCCCAUCUGGAUUUGCAUCGACUGUUUGUUGGGUAGAUGGAACAUGAGACAUAGUAUUGUAUUUAUUAUUUGAGAAUUCAUUACAAUAUAUUUUUUUUCUAUUUUUAAAUUUUUUUAAUUAAUGUAAUUUUUUAUUUUUAUGUUUUGGGCAAAUUCUUCUAUUUUUAAAUUCUUCUAAUCAGUUAUAAUUUUUUAUUUUUAUGUUUUAGAUUAAUUCUAAAAUUAUUUCCUAUUUUUAUAUUUUGAAUAGAUUUUUUUCUAUUUUUAUGUUGUAGGUUUAUGUAUAUAUAUUAAUUCUUAAUCAAUGAGAAAGUCAAGUCAUUAUUUCUUAAUAAUUUUCUUUCUAUUUUAACAUUGUUUAUUUUUCUUUUUUAAAUUUUUUUUUUUUCUACUUUCUUCCCCACGUUAUGUUUUCGUAGACCAAAUGCAUAUAUAAAGUAAAAAAAUGAUCAUAACAUUAUUCAAAUAGUCAGCAUGUCUUUGAAUUUUGCUUUGUAAAAAUAUUAAAAAUUUAAGGAUGGGGUUUUUUCUUCAUAUUUAUUUGCAUAUUGUAGACUAUGAAUAGCCAUUAUAAUUGGCAUUGGAAACACGCAAAGUUACAGAACAUGGAAGUCAAAUAUUUGCUUGGAACUUUAGGGUUUGGAAAACUUGUAAGGCAGACCACAUCUACUCGGUUUCCCAUUGCUUUUUGUUUUUGUAUCUCGGCCUUGUGUUUAAUUCUUUUAAGCAAGUGAAUUUUAUACUUCUAUACUAUAAUUUAAAUUUAAAAAAUAAGUAUCUGAUGAUUUAAAUUUUCCUUAAUUACUCUUUAAAUCAAUAUACAUCUCUUUCCUUUUUAUUUAUUUCAACAAAAUAUUAAAGAAUAAUUUAGAAAAAUACUUUUAAAUUCACUUUAAUUUUUCCUCAUCCUUACUUGUAGUUUUUAAUUAAUUUUAAUUUAAUUAAUUAAUCAAUCAUGAUAAAUAUCCCUUCUUUACAGUACAGGUAAAGAGAAUCUGCUCGCACUCUUCUAUAUGGUACCAACUUCAACCAUUUAAAUAUCCCUUCUUUGUUUUUUUUUUCUUGCACAUGGGGUCCUUGUAUAACCAUGUUGGGUGAGGUCUCCCUUGAUUUGAGUGGAAUUCUAUGUUCAUGUGCUCUUGGAGGCGGUGAACCCUUAGGUUCGCUACAACAGUUGAGCUAAUUCCUUGGGUUCCUUUUCUCCCUCUUCAGCUGUAUUUUUUUCUACUUGUAUGGAGAAAAUUUGAACGUAGAUGCUUAAAAUAUGGAUUUUUGAUCCGAGUAUGAUAAUUUUAAAAAAUAAUUCUUAAAUUAUCGUAGUGGGAAAAAUAAUUCCAAAUUUACGGUAGUUGAGAAAGAUAUUUGUUUUUUUAAGUCGUCUUUUCAAAAGACGAUUUAUGAUCUUUUUUUUUUCACUAAGAAAUUGAAAUCGUCUCUUGAAAAAAUGAUUUCUACCAAAAAAAUAUAUAUAUAUAUAUAUAUAUAUAUAUAUAUAUAUAUAUAAUUAAUUAAUCAAAUAUCGUCUCUUGAAAAGAUAAUUUCCACCAAAAAAAAAUUAAGCAAUUAAAAAUCGUCUCUUCAAGAGACAAUUUCCAUAAAAAUAAAUAAAUAAAAUUUAAGUAAUUGGACAUGUCUUUUGAAAAGAUGAUUUUUCAAAAAAAAAAAAUUAAGUAAUUGAAAUUAUCUUUUGAAGAGACGAUUUUUACCACAAAAAAAAAAAAGUAAAAUUUAAUAACGAAGACGAUUAGGCAUUUGAAUAUGGAGAAUUUUACUAUAAAAGAUUUGGAUUGACUGACACAUUGUUUUUCUAUCCUUAAGGGAACAAGACCAAGAAAUUUAAGUGUCUUGCAUGAUGGAAAAUUUUGCAGGCCGGGGAUUUAUCCUUUCUUUUAACAUAAUAAUAUUUUGCAUAAUGGAAAAUUUUUGGAGCUUGGAUUUUCUUUAACUAGGAGAGUGAGCAAGAAGGCGUCCUCAUUAUCAUUAUCAUUGCUAUUUUCACUUUGGUCGGAAAGAAUAUGGGGAGUCACAUAUAUAUUUUUUUUGUACAAAUUGUCUCGAGACGAUUUCUUACUUGAUUUUAUUUUAUUUUAUUUUUGAAAUUGUUUCUUGAAGAUAAAAUUUCUCACUUCUUAAUUUUAUUUUAUUUUUAUUUUUUGAAAAUCGUCUCUUCAAAAGACGGUUUUUCAUUUCAUUUAUUACGAUUUAUUUAUAUUUUUUAAAAUCAUCUUUUGAAUAUACGAUUUUUCACUUCCAAUUUAUUUCUCUUUUCUAUUUGGAUAAAACUAAUUUAUAAUUAUUUUUCCUAUUAUGGUAAUUUAGGAAUUAAUUUUUAAAACCGUACUCUUAUCAAAAAAUCCCUUAAAAGUAUGUGCUUUAAAUCCCUAUAUGAUAUGCUAAAACUAACUUCAUGGAGCCUGUAGUACUACUACCUCUGAACAGGAAUUUCCUUCCAUUGACAGUAAAUUGCUUUCUUAGAUUGUUAAAAUUCCGCCUAAUGGGUCUCAAUUCAGCUAACAAUAUUGGAUCCCCAAAACCAUAUUGCAUCCUUCCAAGGUAUGAGUCUCAAAUCGGCUUAAUAAAAACUUCUUCCCUAGCAAGUUCCAUUUCAAUUGCCUGCAAACUGCAUCACCAGUGUUCAUUAUUGAAUUAUAGAUUGCACGGAUCUACCCUCACGGAUCCACACACACAGCCCUUGGCCACAAUGGGCUCUGGUUCUCUUCAUGCAAUGGCUGUAAUUUGACUGUAAAUUGGCACACUGAAGUUGGGAUAUUCUUAGAACUAGCUUUAAUUUAUUUAAAAACAGAAGCUACUUAUGUAUUCUUACAAGUUUCUAUAGAAGAUACAUAUAACACUGAUAGCAUGUACCUGAGCCCAUCAGAAUAAACUACAUAUUUUAAGCUUAAAAUGCCCAUCGCUGAGGGAGAUGAGGCUUUGAUAAAGUUAUUUUUAAGAUUUUCCCUUGCUACACACAUAUACAUAUACAUAUACAUAUACACACAACAAAGCUUGCAAGAAUAGGUCUUCUAGCAAGUCCAAGGUGGAUCUAGCUGGUCUGAAGAAUAGGUCUUCUUGAAAUAUUUGUGCUGUCAACAACCUUGAACCACUGGCUCCCAGGAUCACACGUAUCAUCUCUACCCAAGCACUUGCAGGCAUCUGUGACAAUGGUGCUGCUGGAGUCUACAUCCAAGCAAACCGUGGUGCUAUCCCCCAGCUUAGUUGACAGGUACAUCUUUGAAUCUGAAAUGAUAUCCCAAUUUGACCCAGGUUUAGUGCAUAUUAUACUGAGUUUUGCAGGCUUCCCUAGCUCAACUGCUUGAAGGCAGAAGUAUGACCCCUUCACUAUCAACAACUUUUGGGGGGUGUAGCCCCAGGCGUCUGACUUAGUGCAGGGACCUAGCUUUAAUGGUUCAGUCCAUGACUCCCACAGAAUGCAAAGACCAGUCGGAGGAUGGAGGAUUAUUUUAUGUGGUCUGACUCGGGAUACAUCUGGCCCUGCAUCUCACAUGAAAGCACAAAAAAAUUAGAUAUGAAUAAUUAAGUAAAUUUGCCUUAUUUGUCUUAGCAACCAUACCUUGCAAAGGAGAUUGGAGGGCUGAAAUCCUCUGGAAGACGCUUGAGUUCCAAUUCAUUAACCCAUUAGUCUCUUCCACUGUCCAUAAUGCCCAAUCGAAGUCCAGUUCAGCUGCCAGGCCAAAGAAGCAAUUUAAGUUCCUGUUGUCAUCCACCCCAAGCUCACUCACAAACAUUAAUGGCCACCCUUGCUGUAGCAGAACCCCCCCUCUCCUCAUUAUGCUGUCCACCACUCUCCCGCACACCUUGUUGGGGUUGCUGGUUUCCCCAGCCCUCCCAGCCCGCAAUCCAUCCCAAUGCAUCUCCAACACUAAUUUCCCUGUGAAUGUCAAUUCCAGCUGUUGAUUGAGGAGGAAAGAUAGGUCUGUACCAUCACUCAAGCCAGAGAUUAUGACCAGAACAUCUGGGUUGGCUGAGUGCACUGCUUCAGCUCCUUUCUGCAUGUACCUGGUCCAUUCAUGAAUAGCUUUAUAACAAGACCAAUUCCUACAAAUACGAUAAUUAAUAGUAUGAAAUUAUAACAAACCCCUCCCUUCCUUGUCAAUAUAGAUAUUGUCAAUUGGGAAACUUUACAAUGCAUUUAUAAGGUUAAGAAACUUUACAAUGCAUUUAUAAGGUUAAGAAGAGCCCAUAAAUAUAUAGUAUCAGGGGUUUUUGCCAAUUUGAUCCACAAUCCGUAGAGACACGAUAAGGAUUUUGUGUCUGGAUAGGGUGAUUGUAAUAUCAUAGGCCAAAAGUUCUUAACACUAUAUAUGACACGUUUUAAAGCCAUCCAUCGAGUCUAAAGAAAACAAUAUCUACAAGAUUGGGCUCACCUGUACCAGUCCUUCACAUUCUGUUUGGGGCAUCGGAGCUCAUUCCUCAAGCUCAUGCCCACCACGUUAGGCACACCACUGAACACGGUGGCCAUCCGGGUAAGGCCCUUGACCCACAAGUCUGGGUUGAAGUACUGGUCGCCAAAGAUGUCGUUGCUAUGGAAGCUGGGCUUACUGAAGUGACUGUCUAGUAUGAUCAUCAUAUUGUUGUCCGCAAUGUUAGACACCACCGCCUGCCAUAACAACCUAUUAGAUUAAUACAAACCAGGAGUAGGGUCUGAGCCUUUUUGAUAUUUCCGGUGUUUUAUCAUUAAAUUAUCCGAAAUCUUAUCCUUUCUGAAUACUGUAGCUGUAACAGUGAAGGCGUUUGACCAAAUUCACAAGCCACCUUUUUUAAAAUCAAGAUAAUCAUGAACCAUGUGAUAGCGUAAGAACCAAGGAACCAUGUGAUAGCUUAAGAACCAAGGAACCAUGCCCUAAUCAAAAUUUAAUCUCUAAAUCAUGGUGGGAAAGUGAUUAAAAACCAAAAGAAAAGCAGAUCAGUUUUAGGCAAACAAAAUAGAUUCAUUCAAUUUUCCUGAUACUUAAUGGAUUUGAGGCUUGGAGCCCCUUCAACUGAUGCCUAGACAGAAUCAAAUGAACUACCCACCUGGUAAGCGCUUGUGAGAGGAAGAUCAAGCAUGGAAGGGUUAUUGGCUUGGAAUCCAGCAAGGGAUUCAAGCAAGCCAAGCCUCUGAAAGGACUGUCUAACAGUGAGGGAGGCCAGUGACUGGUCGGUGGCCAAGAAAAGUGGCAGAGCGAGCCUCACACAGUUGAACCCCAAGGACGCAAUCCUCUUGGAGAUGAGGUCAACUGGGUGGUUGCUGAGACCCUCAGCCACCGGUGCUUCCCGAUGAGACGGCCAAUUCACGCAUGCCAGCUUCACCCGGGCGCCAUCUUCGUCUACUAUCCACCUUGAAGUGGUGUGUAGUGGCAGAGCCACCACAGGCUUCAGAGGUAGAAGACAUAAAAUAGAUAGAAGGAAGAAGAAGGAAAAGAAGAACCUCCCCAUCUGGGACUUGUGUUGACUGCUAGUUGGGUAGAUGGAAUAUGAGACAUGGUAUUGUACUUAUAGGGCCCGGAACCCUCGUCUGUCUUUCUUUUUAAAUUCUUUUUUUUUUUCUUCUCCUCGUUUUUUCUCACUCGACCAAACGUAUAUAGUAAACAAUGACUAUAUUUAAACCAUUCCGCUAAAUGAAUCUGUCGGCAAUUUAAUAUUAAGUGAUAUACCAUAUAUUUAAAAAAUGAAAAUAAAAAAUACCCAAUCCUAUGCCGAAACAAAAACCGGAUCUUCAUCAACAAUAUUAAUCCUCACGGUGUAUAUUACUAAGAAG
Molecule: long non-coding RNA, 29993 nt
Filed under: Vitis vinifera (wine grape)
Lineage: Eukaryota; Viridiplantae; Streptophyta; Magnoliopsida; Vitales; Vitaceae
Description: long non-coding RNA (VVIN_LNC006407)
Source: RNAcentral